AUUGAACGCUGGCGGCAUGCCUUACACAUGCAAGUCGAACGGCAGCACGGAGCUUGCUCUGGUGGCGAGUGGCGAACGGGUGAGUAAUAUAUCGGAACGUACCCAAGAGUGGGGGAUAACGUAGCGAAAGUUACGCUAAUACCGCAUACGAUCUAAGGAUGAAAGCAGGGGACCGCAAGGCCUCGUGCUCCUGGAGCGGCCGAUAUCUGAUUAGCUAGUUGGUGAGGUAAAGGCUCACCAAGGCAUCGAUCAGUAGCUGGUCUGAGAGGACGACCAGCCACACUGGAACUGAGGCACGGUCCAGACUCCUACGGGAGGCAGCAGUGGGGAAUUUUGGACAAUGGGGGCAACCCUGAUCCAGCAAUGCCGCGUGAGUGAAGAAGGCCUUCGAGUUGUAAAGCUCUUUUGUCAGGGAAGAAACGGUCGUGGCUAAUAUCCAUGGCUAAUGACGGUACCUGAAGAAUAAGCACCGGCUAACUACGUGCCAGCAGCCGCAGUAA
Molecule: ribosomal RNA, 500 nt
Filed under: uncultured bacterium
Lineage: Bacteria
Description: partial 16S ribosomal RNA
Rfam family: Bacterial small subunit ribosomal RNA
Source: RNAcentral